RNAcentral lists this ribosomal RNA (253 nucleotides) under uncultured bacterium. RNAcentral's name for it is "partial 16S ribosomal RNA". It matches the Rfam family "Bacterial small subunit ribosomal RNA", at positions 524 to 776 of the family's 1533-position model. The record is from RNAcentral.
UACGUAGGUGGCAAGCGUUGUCCGGAAUUAUUGGGCGUAAAGCGCGCGCAGGCGGUCUUUUAAGUCUGAUGUGAAAGCCCACGGCUCAACCGUGGAAGGUCACUGGAAACUGGGGAACUUGAGUGCAGAAGAGAAAAGCGGAAUUCCACGUGUAGCGGUGAAAUGCGUAGAGAUGUGGAGGGACACCAGUGGCGAAGGCGACUCUUUGGCCUGUAACUGACGCUGAGGCGCGAAAGCGUGGGGAGCAAACAGG